UCCAGACUCCUACGGGAGGCAGCAGUGGGGGAUAUUGCACAAUGGGGGAAACCCUGAUGCAGCGACGCCGCGUGAGUGAAGAAGUAUUUCGGUAUGUAAAGCUCUAUCAGCAGGGAAGAAAAGAAUGACGGUACCUGAAUAAGAAGCCCCGGCUAACUACGUGCCAGCAGCCGCGGUAAUACGUAGGGGGCAAGCGUUAUCCGGAUUUACUGGGUGUAAAGGGAGCGCAGACGGCAAUGCAAGCCUGGAGUGAAAGGCGGGGGCCCAACCCCCGGACUGCUCUGGGAACUGUAUAGCUAGAGUGCAGGAGAGGCAAGUGGAAUUCCUAGUGUAGCGGUGAAAUGCGUAGAUAUUAGGAGGAACACCAGUGGCGAAGGCGGCUUGCUGGACUGUAACUGACGUUGAGGCUCGAAAGCGUGGGGAGCAAACAGGAUUAGAUACCCGUGUA
Molecule: ribosomal RNA, 448 nt
Filed under: uncultured bacterium
Lineage: Bacteria
Description: partial 16S ribosomal RNA
Rfam family: Bacterial small subunit ribosomal RNA
Source: RNAcentral